Long non-coding RNA from Diceros bicornis minor, 313 nucleotides. RefSeq lists it as uncharacterized. The transcript has 4 exons. The record is from RefSeq and is a predicted model, not a curated record. NCBI's taxonomy places the organism in Eukaryota, Metazoa, Chordata, Mammalia, Perissodactyla, Rhinocerotidae.
GUUCACAAAACUGGAGACAGUUUUAGAAGACGACAGCAAGAAAAGAGAAAGAGAAUGAAGAGAGAUCAACCAGCUUUCACUCCUGGUGGAAUAUUAAACCCUCAUGCCUUGGGUUCAAGAAAUUCACCAGGUUCUCAAGUAGCCAGUAAUCCGAGACAAGCAGCCUAUGAAAUGAGGAUGCAGAAUAAUUCUAGUCCUUCAGUAUCUCCUAAUACGAGUUUCACUUCUGAUGGCUCCCCGUCUCCGAUAGGAGGAAUUAAGCGAAAAGCAGAAGACAGUGACAGUGAACCUGAACCAGAGGAUAACGUCAGGU